RNAcentral lists this ribosomal RNA (640 nucleotides) under uncultured bacterium. Its description in RNAcentral is "bacterial SSU rRNA". It matches the Rfam family "Bacterial small subunit ribosomal RNA", at positions 202 to 842 of the family's 1533-position model. The record is from RNAcentral.
GAAAGAUUCAUCGGAAGGGGAUGGGCAUGCGGCGCAUUAGCUAGACGGCGGGGUAACGGCCCACCGUGGCGACGAUGCGUAGGGGUUCUGAGAGGAAGGUCCCCCACACUGGUACUGAGACACGGACCAGACUCCUACGGGAGGCAGCAGUGAGGAAUAUUGGUCAAUGGGAGAGAUCCUGAACCAGCCAAGCCGCGUGAGGGAAGACGGCCCUAUGGGUUGUAAACCUCUUUUGUCGGAGAACAAAACCCGGGACGUGUCCCGGACUGCGUGUAUCCGAAGAAAAAGCAUCGGCUAACUCCGUGCCAGCAGCCGCGGUAAUACGGAGGAUGCGAGCGUUAUCCGGAUUUAUUGGGUUUAAAGGGUGCGUAGGCGGUCCGUUAAGUCAGCGGUAAAAUUGCGGGGCUCAACCCCGUCGAGCCGUUGAAACUGGCAGACUUGAGUUGGCGAGAAGUACGCGGAAUGCGCGGUGUAGCGGUGAAAUGCAUAGAUAUCGCGCAGAACUCCGAUUGCGAAGGCAGCGUACCGGCGCCAGACUGACGCUGAGGCACGAAAGCGUGGGGAUCGAACAGGAUUAGAUACCCUGGUAGUCCACGCAGUAAACGAUGAAUGCUGGUUGUCCGGGUCGAAUGAGAUCUGG